RNAcentral lists this ribosomal RNA (405 nucleotides) under uncultured bacterium. RNAcentral describes it as "bacterial SSU rRNA". It matches the Rfam family "Bacterial small subunit ribosomal RNA", at positions 29 to 417 of the family's 1533-position model. The record is from RNAcentral.
AACGAACGCUGGCGGCGUGCCUAACACAUGCAAGUCGUGCGAGAAAGUUCCUUCGGGAGCGAGUAAAGCGGCGCACGGGUGAGUAACACGUAGGUAACCUGCCCCCCAGUCUGGAACAACUAGAGGAAACUCUAGCUAAUGCCGGAUGAGACCACGAUCCCUUCGGGGGUUGCGGCCAAAGAUGGCCUCUACUUGUAAGCUAUCGCUGAGGGAUGGGCCUGCGAGCCAUUAGCUUGUUGGUGAGGUAACGGCUCACCAAGGCUGUGAUGGCUAGCUGGUCUGAGAGGAUGACCAGCCACACUGGGACUGAGACACGGCCCAGACUCCUACGGGAGGCAGCAGUGGGGAAUAUUGCGCAAUGGGCGAAAGCCUGACGCAGCGACGCCGCGUGGGUGAUGAAGGCCU